CGCUCUCCAUCAUGCCGAGAGAAUGGCGCACUUAUGUGUGGCGUCCCCUAGAGAUGGUGAGAGGCAAAUGCCCACGUGCACAUACCCAGUGUGAAAGGGGCGACUUCGGGCAGAGACAUCAAGCUCUGCCCCCCCCCCUCCCACCACACACACACGCACACGCACACAUGGGUUCUCUGCUCUCUUCUUCCUGUUGGGAGAGCUUAUUUGCUGUGUCGUUGUUGUCGCCUCAAGGCAAGUGCGUGAGUCGGCUAACAGAGGUUUGAGAUGGCGAGACGGUCAUGGAAGUUGGGUGCUGUGUUGCGCGUGACGCACCUCGGGCUUCUCAUUUUAUCUGCUCAUCCACAAUGCACGCCGUCUGCUGCGUGGAGUCGAAGCAUCGGGAGCGCGUACGGGAGGAGAGAAGUGGUCACAAGCCAGCAUUUCGCCGGUGCGCUUUCCUCAAGUGCGGAUUUGCCUGAGAGAGACGAGAGGUUGUGCGCUGCCGACCUUUGCCAUUGCCCUUUGGAGGAGGAGACGUGCGAAGAUGGAGCGCUAUGCUGCAGGGCUGUUUUCUUUUUUUUUUGUUUCCAUUUUAGCUUCGUUCUCACGGAGGGGAAUGAGCGAAGCGAAAAAGAAGGACAGGGAAAAAGGAAACACAUCGGCCGGCUGUCACGCCAUGGCCAUCGGAUCAACGACAGUCCCGGAGCUAGAUUCGCCUUCCUGCUUCCUUGUCUAGCUUCUCUUCUUUCUCCGCCCUCACCCUCUCUUUUUGGUCCACUAGCUGAUCUGCACGACCUCGACUCUUCCUCUGUCUCAUGCCCAUGCUUGUCUUCGCCGCAUAGACCGCCGUCUCUUUGCCACCGUGAAAGCCGACUCGAUCUCUCUCUCUCUCUCUGUGUGUGUGUGUGUCUGUCUGCCUCUCCCUCCUCCUUUUUGGCGUCGUGCACGCGCACAG
Molecule: unclassified non-coding RNA, 937 nt
Filed under: Leishmania donovani
Lineage: Eukaryota; Euglenozoa; Kinetoplastea; Trypanosomatida; Trypanosomatidae
Description: gene:unknown
Source: RNAcentral